ACUCAAAGGAAUUGACGGGGACCCGCACAAACGGUGGAGCAUGUGGUUUAAUACGACGAUACGCGUGGAACCUUACCCAGACUUGACAUGUUUUUGAAAUCCUUGUGAAAGCUUGGACCCCUAGCAAUAGGCAAUUACACAGGUGUUGCAUGGCUGUCGUCAGCUCGUGUCGUGAGAUGUUGGGUUAAGUCCCGCAACGAGCGCAACCCUUAUCUUUAGUUGCUACCUACGUCUUCGGAUGUAGCGCACUCUAGAGAGACUGCCGCUGAUAAAGCGGAGGAAGGUGGGGAUGACGUCAAGUCAGUACGGCCCUUACGUCUGGGGCUACACACGUGCUACAAUGGUUGGUACAAAAGGUUGCAAUACCGCGAGGUGGAGCUAAUCCCUAAAACCAACCUCAGUUCAGAUUGCAGGCUGCAACUCGUCUGCAUGAAGCUGGAAUCGUUAGUAAUCCCGUAUCAGACACGACGGGGUGAAUACGUUCCCGGGUCUUGUACACACCGCCCGU
Molecule: ribosomal RNA, 508 nt
Filed under: uncultured bacterium
Lineage: Bacteria
Description: partial 16S ribosomal RNA
Rfam family: Bacterial small subunit ribosomal RNA
Source: RNAcentral